ACUCCUACGGGAGGCAGCAGGCGCGAAAACUUUACAAUGCCGGCAACGGCGAUAAGGGGACCUCGAGUGCCAGGUUACAAAUCUGGCUGUCGUGAUGCCUAAAAAGCAUGCAUAGCAAGGGCCGGGCAAGACCGGUGCCAGCCGCCGCGGUAACACCGGCGGCUCGAGUGGUAACCGUUAUUAUUGGGUCUAAAGGGUCUGUAGCCGGCCGGAUAAGUCUCUUGAGAAAUCCAGCAGCUCAACUGUUGGGCUUUCAGGAGAUACUGUUCGGCUCGAGGCCGGGAGAGGUGAGAGGUACUUCAGGGGUAGGGGUGAAAUCUUGUAAUCCUUGAAGGACCACCAGUGGCGAAGGCGUCUCACCAGAACGGACCUGACGGCAAGGGACGAAAGCUAGGGGCACGAACCGGAUUAGAUACCCGGGUAGUCCAAGCCGUAAACGAUACUCGCUAGGUGUCGGCCACGGUGCGACCGUUGUCGGUGCCGUAGGGAAGCCGUGAAGCGAGCCACCUGGGAAGUACGGCCGCAAGGCUGAAACUCAAAGGAAUUGACGG
This 551-nucleotide ribosomal RNA is filed under the name uncultured bacterium. Its description in RNAcentral is "bacterial SSU rRNA". It matches the Rfam family "Archaeal small subunit ribosomal RNA", at positions 319 to 871 of the family's 1478-position model. The record is from RNAcentral.